This 551-nucleotide ribosomal RNA is filed under the name Salmonella enterica. RNAcentral's name for it is "partial 23S ribosomal RNA". It matches the Rfam family "Bacterial large subunit ribosomal RNA", at positions 711 to 1258 of the family's 2925-position model. Lineage: Bacteria; Pseudomonadati; Pseudomonadota; Gammaproteobacteria; Enterobacterales; Enterobacteriaceae. The record is from RNAcentral.
AGACCCGAAACCCGGUGAUCUAGCCAUGGGCAGGUUGAAGGUUGGGUAACACUAACUGGAGGACCGAACCGACUAAUGUUGAAAAAUUAGCGGAUGACCUGUGGCUGGGGGUGAAAGGCCAAUCAAACCGGGAGAUAGCUGGUUCUCCCCGAAAGCUAUUUAGGUAGCGCCUCGUGAAUUCAUCUCCGGGGGUAGAGCACUGUUUCGGCUAGGGGGCCAUCCCGGCUUACCAACCCGAUGCAAACUGCGAAUACCGGAGAAUGUUAUCACGGGAGACACACGGCGGGUGCUAACGUCCGUCGUGAAGAGGGAAACAACCCAGACCGCCAGCUAAGGUCCCAAAGUCAUGGUUAAGUGGGAAACGAUGUGGGAAGGCCCAGACAGCCAGGAUGUUGGCUUAGAAGCAGCCAUCAUUUAAAGAAAGCGUAAUAGCUCACUGGUCGAGUCGGCCUGCGCGGAAGAUGUAACGGGGCUAAACCAUGCACCGAAGCUGCGGCAGCGACGCUUAUGCGUUGUUGGGUAGGGGAGCGUUCUGUAAGCCUGUGAAGGUG